GAGUACAGUUUUGUUAAGGGAUCGUUUUUAUAGUUUGUAACAAGGAAUGAGUGGUUGAAAGUGUCUAAUCUUGCUAAUUACUAGGAGAAGUUAGUGUCUCUUUUGAAUACAAAGGGAGCAGACAGUGUUGCCUUAAUGCAGCUGUAAUCUGCUAUUGAUAACGGUUCUUGCUUUCUUUUUGGAAAACCAGGAGGAAGAGAACGUGGACUGAGUGAU
Molecule: small nucleolar RNA, 216 nt
Organism: Mauremys mutica (yellowpond turtle)
Lineage: Eukaryota; Metazoa; Chordata; Testudines; Geoemydidae
Product: small nucleolar RNA U3
Exons: 1
Source: RefSeq, a predicted model, not a curated record